RNAcentral lists this long non-coding RNA (2575 nucleotides) under Cottoperca gobio. RNAcentral describes it as "lncRNA (ENSCGOG00000003244.1)". The record is from RNAcentral. Lineage: Eukaryota; Metazoa; Chordata; Actinopteri; Perciformes; Bovichtidae.
ACAACAUGCGAAUUACACAGCAGAUACAAAUGCUGUAGAACAACUUUAUUGGAAAACAAAGAUGCAAUCUAAUUUCAGUUGGACAUUAAAUGUAGAGCCAGUGUACAAACUGUCUUUGCUCAUUUGGCAGACACUUUUAGUAUAAAUGAGGUACUAUCCAAUUAACAGUAUAUCAAAGAGAAGCAAUGUUGCAGGUACAUACAGCAAGGGAAUUAACAUUUACAUCGUGGUAUAGGAUAUCAAAGGGUGACUGUUUCUAGCCCUUGGAAAUCCAAAUCUCAUGUAUUCAUAAUGCCUUUCCUUUUCCACAAGUUAUGACAACCAAUGUGUGGGGUAUACAUUACUGCAAAGCAUAAUAUAUUAAGAAUACAUAACAAAACACACAUCUAGGGAUUAAAAAGAACAUUUCUCAUGACUUUUACAUUAAUGAGACCACAUGGGUGAUAUUCCCUCACUGUGUUGCAGCUUGUGGCAGCUGUUUACAGUUUGCAGUUUCCUAUAUGUUAGGUAAGUCUUUCCCCAUGUUUAUCAGAGUGUGGGAGAAAAUCCCUGAAGCUUGGGCUGGAUGUCCUCAGGAUCUUCACCACACUAUAACAACACUUCUAUAUUGCUUUCAAAAAUUAAGAGUCAAAGGAGUUUCCAUAGAAUAAGAGUCGGUCCAUGAGUGACUGAAUUACAAAUCUCACACCUCUUUCUUUAUACAUUUUCCUUAUCUUUCAAAGUUGACAUCAUUGUCCCAAAAAGUCAGUGAGUAGAGAAAGGAGGGGUAGAGACAGGAGGAAUAGAGACAGGAGGAAUAGUGAAAGGAGGGGUAGAGACAGGAGGAAUAGUGAAAGGAGGGGUAGAGAAAGGAGGGGUAGAGAAAGGAGGAAUAGUGAAAGUUGGGGGUAGAGAAAGGAUCGGUAGAGACAGGAGGAAUAGAGAAAGGAGGAAUAGUGAAAGUUGGGGUAGAGAAAGGAGGGGUAGAGAAAGGAGGAAUAGUGAAAGGAGGGGGUAGAGAAAGGAGGGGUAGAGAAAGGAGGAAUAGUGAAAGUUGGGGUAGAGAAAGGAUCGGUAGAGACAGGAGGAAUAGAGAAAGGAGGAAUAGUGAAAGUUGGGGUAGAGAAAGGAGGGGUAGAGAAAGGAGGGGUAGAGAAAGGAGGAAUAGUGAAAGUUGGGGUAGAGAAAGGAGGGGUAGAGACAGGAGGAAUAGAGAAAGGAGGAAUAGAGAAAGGAGGGGUAGAGAAAGGAGGGGUAGAGAAAGGAGGGGUAGAGAAAGGUAGAGAAAGGAGGAAUAGUGAAAGGAGGGGUAGAGAAAGGAGGGGUAGAGACAGGAGGAAUAGAGAAAGGAGGAAUAGAGAAAGGAGGAAUAGAGAAAGGAGGAAUAGAGAAAGGAGGGGUAGAGACAGGAGGAACAGAGAAAGGAGGAAUAGAGAAAGGAGGGGUAGAGAAAGGAGGAGUAGAGAAAGGAGGGGUAGAGAAGGAGGGGUAGAGAAAGGAGGAAUAGUGAAAGGAGGGUAGAGAAAGGAGGGUAGAGAAAGGAGGAAUAGUGAAAGGAGGGGUAGAGAAAGGAGGAAUAGUGAAAGGAGGGGUAGAGAAAGGAGGGUAGAGAAAGGAGGAAUAGUGAAAGGAGGGGUAGAGAAAGGAGGGGUAGAGAAAGGAGGAAUAGUGAAAGGAGGGGUAGAGAAAGGAGGGGUAGAGAAAGGAGGGGUAGAGAAAGGAGGAGUAGAGGAAGGAGGGGUAGAGGAAGGAGGGGUAGAGAAAGGAGGGGUAGAGAAAGGAGCGGCAGAGAAAGGAGGAAUAGUGAAAGGAGGGGUAGAGAAAGGAGGGAUAGACAGGAGGAAUAGUGAAAGGAGGAAUAUAGAAUGGAGGGGUAGAGAAAGGAGGGGUGGAGGAUUCAGACGGUGGCAGGUGUUAGUCUGACACAAGAAUACAUUUGUCUGUUUGUUAUGAUGACCUUCAGUUUACCUAAAAUACAAUGGUCGAGUUUGACGCGUGGGGCUAAAGAAAACAUUGCCUAUCUGAAAGGAGGCACAGAGAGAAUAGGGUUGGACUGCAAAUAAAGUUACAAAGAUGUGCUGAGCGAGUCAGAAAUGAAUUAAACCAAGUUUUAAACAAUAAGAAUGUAACAUCUGUUGACUGACUCUCUUGCCAACCUUGACUUUUUAACCACCAGUUAUCCUUUUCUUCAAAUACUCCCUAACUUUCCCACAGUGGAGAAACAACUUUUCAAAUACUCCUGACAACAGAUGCAACCCACUUUUCACAUUCUGCUGAUAUUUGAUCUAUUCUUGCUUAACUAGUGGUGUAACUAAUGUUAUUCUUUUAGCUGUUAACCUUUACUUUUCAUGACCUUACCUUCUGCCUUUACACCAUUAAAUCUCAGUGUCUGCCGUAUAGACUAAAAUACUUUAAUGAUUAACAAUAUACAAAUAUCUUCAUAUUUCGGGCAGUUGCUGACUAAAAUAAUUAUCCUGCUUCAAAAGAUAUCCAACGAGUACAACUUGUUUAGUCUUUUGUUUGAGGUCUUCCAUAGUUGGUCAAACCACAGUGACAUCUUUAGAGUCCUGAUAGUUCAUCUCAGCCCUGACAGUUA